GAUGAACGCUGGCGGCGUGCCUAAUACAUGCAAGUCGAGCGAACGGACGAGAAGCUUGCUUCUCUGAUGUUAGCGGCGGACGGGUGAGUAACACGUGGAUAACCUACCUAUAAGACUGGGAUAACUUCGGGAAACCGUAGCUAAUACCGGCUAAUAUUUUGAACCGCAUGGUUCAAAAGUGAAAGACGGUCUUGCUGUCACUUAUAGAUGGAUCCGCGCUGCAUUAGCUAGUUGGUAAGGUAACGGCUUACCAAGGCAACGAUGCAUAGCCGACCUGAGAGGGUGAUCGGCCACACUGGAACUGAGACACGGUCCAGACUCCUACGGGAGGCAGCAGUAGGGAAUCUUCCGCAAUGGGCGAAAGCCUGACGGAGCAACGCCGCGUGAGUGAUGAAGGUCUUCGGGUCGUAAAACUCUGUUAUUAGGGAAGAACAUAUGUGUAAGUAACUGUGCACAUCUUGACGGUACCUAAUCAGAAAGCCACGGCUAACUACGUG
RNAcentral lists this ribosomal RNA (497 nucleotides) under uncultured bacterium. RNAcentral describes it as "partial 16S ribosomal RNA". It matches the Rfam family "Bacterial small subunit ribosomal RNA", at positions 28 to 507 of the family's 1533-position model. The record is from RNAcentral.